This 299-nucleotide ribosomal RNA is filed under the name uncultured bacterium. Its description in RNAcentral is "partial 16S ribosomal RNA". It matches the Rfam family "Bacterial small subunit ribosomal RNA", at positions 475 to 776 of the family's 1533-position model. The record is from RNAcentral.
CUAUGCGCCUUGCCCAGCCCGCUCAGGUGUGCCAGCCGCCGCGGUAAUACAGAGGUCUCAAGCGUUGUUCGGAAUCACUGGGCGUAAAGCGUGCGUAGGCGGUUUCGUAAGUCGUGUGUGAAAGGCGGGGGCUCAACCCCCGGACUGCACAUGAUACUGCGAGACUAGAGUAAUGGAGGGGGAACCGGAAUUCUCGGUGUAGCAGUGAAAUGCGUAGAUAUCGAGAGGAACACUCGUGGCGAAGGCGGGUUCCUGGACAUUAACUGACGCUGAGGCACGAAGGCCAGGGAGCGAAAGGG